CCAAUACUCUAAUAAAUGGGACCCUCUUUUUCCUUUAUCUUGUGGCACGGAUAAAUCGUGGAAAAUUUAUUUAUAAAUCUUUUUACUUAAUUUUGAAUGGCCUUUAAGGUAAAAAAAUACAUUUUGAAUUUGGAGCAUAAUUUAAAAACGUAAAUGAAAUUAUCUGCAUACUAUGGCGAAUACGCCAUAACGUUCGUCAGUACAACAGUGUAUUAUAAUUGAGGACUCUGUUUUAGCGUAUUUACCAUAGAUGGCGCAUUAUAAUAAACUAAGAAGGUAUCAUUGAAUUUUGGUUAUAUUUAUACGAGUUACUUGAGAGCGGAGCGUAUUGUAACACAUCAUGGUUCUCUGAAGCAUGAUACCCAGAAAUAAGUAAGUAAUAUUUCAAUAAAAUUUAUUUCUGAUUAUAAUAGAUAAUGAGACCUUCCCUUUUCUCUCUGUAUUUACUAUAGAUGUUUAUUUUUUCGAAGUACUAAAAAAAGAAAAAGUUGGGUAGAGCACCAUGCCGAGGCUAAGGUUUGAACUCAGAGCCUUAUGAGGAUACGGCAGGUCUCUUCCCCACUGCGUGUUUAGGGCACUCCUUGGAUAAUUGUGGAGAUUUUUUUUUGUAGUACUGACAAAAAUUUUAAAAAUUUCUACUGGUCCCCACGGACCAAAGUAGACGCGAAGCGUCUA
Long non-coding RNA from Anthonomus grandis grandis, 675 nucleotides. RefSeq lists it as uncharacterized. The transcript has 3 exons. NCBI's taxonomy places the organism in Eukaryota, Metazoa, Arthropoda, Insecta, Coleoptera, Curculionidae. The record is from RefSeq and is a predicted model, not a curated record.